RNAcentral lists this long non-coding RNA (1572 nucleotides) under Sarcophilus harrisii (Tasmanian devil). RNAcentral's name for it is "lncRNA (ENSSHAG00000030209.1)". The record is from RNAcentral. Lineage: Eukaryota; Metazoa; Chordata; Mammalia; Dasyuromorphia; Dasyuridae.
AAGCUGCGGCAGGACCGAGGUUAGACUGGCAGGAGACCCUUUCGGAGAAAGAAGGGUAGGAAGCCACGAGAACGAGAAGAUUGUGGUGGAUCUCUCCCUGGGAAUUUGUAGGUGGGGUAGUCUCCACCUACUGCCAGUCUCCCGAGUCCAACUAUGCUCUAGGUGGGAGUAAUCAGUUAAUUGGUUAAUGCUGAUCGUGGACGAGAAACAAUCUGGAUGAAAGUGUUCUAUCCUCGUUCCUUUCCCCCUCUUCUCUUCAGGGAAGGGGGCGGGGGGGAUUGGAUGAGGUGACCUCCAGAGGUCUCUGCAGGCGAGGAAGGAAAUAUCUGUAAUUUAUCAUCCACCCACAUAAGAAAUCAGAACGUAGCAAAUAAGAAUUUGUCUAGCUGCCCCGGGAACGGUCUGAAUUAUCUUACUUUAUUCACACCUUUUCAUUAGUCUAGAUCAGUAGAAUUGCACAUCGAGAGGAUUAUGAACUCAGAGCCUCUGUCUCUCAAAACGGAGAUCAGGCAGUGGGGAGAGAAAGGUUUAACGUGGAAAGAAUGGUCCAGUUCUGUGAGAAUACCAGGAAAAGGAGAGAAGAAAAUUGAGGAAAAGAGGGAAGAGGGAGAUCAUCCUCCACACUUCAGUCUCAAAUACAUUCACCCUAUCCCCUCUUCCAAGAAGAGAAACUAUGGGAAAGCAAUCUCCAAAUCCAAUUGACUAAAUUCUAACUUGCAGUUUCUUUUUUACCUGCUCCCAAAAUAUUUGAGACAAAUAUAACAUAGUAUAGAAGACUUAAUAAUUAAUGCUGUCACAACAAGAAAUGGUGUGAAAGUAGUGCCAGUGGUCAUAUGUCCAACAAAUUCCCCCUACCCUAACCUCCCAUAUACAUAUAAAUGAUAAGACAAAAAAGUCCCUUUAAAAACUGGAGAAAAGUUGCUAGAAAUGACAUGACAAAACCCAACUUACAUACUUCAAAAUAAAACUAACUCUGAGAAGGAGAAGCACAAACUACAUAAGCUCCUUGAAUUGAAAUCCAAUCUAUUCUGGAUUAAUGUGAUGUGAUUAAUACCAUUGUCUCACCUCCUGCAUCCCCAGUUAUGCCUAAAUACAACUUUUAGGGAGGCCAUGAUUCUAUGUGGUCUUUGGAGGUCAAAAGAGCCUUAGACUAGGGGUAAUUAACCUUUGUUAUGUCUUGGAUCCCUUAGGCAGUCUGUUGUGGACUCCUCAGAAUAAUAUUUUUAAAUAAAUAAAUUAAAAUAAAUAUAAGUACCAAAAAAAAAAAAGUUAGUGAAAAUAAAAAUAUAAUUUUUUUUUCCCCAUCCAAGUUCAUGGACUUUCAGAAAUCUAUUCUCAGGCUCCAAAUGAAGAAUCUCUUUUAAAAAAUUUGCUUCAUCUAGCAUUGUAGUUCAAUUUAUUCAUAUUUCAUGUUGUCCCUGAUUCAUUCUCCCAUACACACACACACACCACAGGCCUUUCUGCUCCAGUUUAUAUUUCCUUCUUCUCUUUAGUGGGUGGAAAUGAGUUUUUUCCUCUGCUGCUUUUCCCAUCUGGACUUAAAAAUACUCUCUCUCUCUCUCUCUCUCUCUC